RNAcentral lists this ribosomal RNA (347 nucleotides) under uncultured bacterium. RNAcentral describes it as "partial 16S ribosomal RNA". It matches the Rfam family "Bacterial small subunit ribosomal RNA", at positions 338 to 682 of the family's 1533-position model. The record is from RNAcentral.
CCUACGGGAGGCAGCAGUGAGGAAUAUUGGUCAAUGGACGAGAGUCUGAACCAGCCAAGUAGCGUGAAGGAUGACUGCCCUAUGGGUUGUAAACUUCUGUUAUAUGGGAAUAAAAUGUUCCACGUGUGGGAUUUUGUAUGUACCAUAUGAAUAAGGAUCGGCUAACUCCGUGCCAGCAGCCGCGGUAAUACGGAGGAUCCGAGCGUUAUCCGGAUUUAGUGGGGUUAACGGGAGCGUAGGGGGAUUGUUAAGUCAGUGGUGAAAGUUUGCGGCUCAACCGUAAAAUUGCAGUUGAAACGGGCAGUCUUGAGUACAGUAGCGGUGGGCGGUAUUCGUGGUGUCGCGGU